Non-coding RNA from Biomphalaria pfeifferi, 436 nucleotides. NCBI's taxonomy places the organism in Eukaryota, Metazoa, Mollusca, Gastropoda, Planorbidae. The record is from the annotation of a GenBank genome assembly.
UUAAUUGCUUUUGAAUUUAUUACCAAAAAAAAAUAGAUGCAGUGAAUGAAACAAAACAUUAAAUACAGCUUUCUUUAUUUUUAUUUAAAACACAGUGACAGUGAUAGUAAAUAUAAUUAUACAAAUUAUAGUCAGGUAGAUAGUAAUGAAAAUGGAAUACAGUUCAAUCUUGUUAUUCAAACCAAACAGAGAUUCAAUCUUUUUCAUCAGCUACUCAGAUUAACCGCAUUGGAAACUAUAAUAGGAUUUAUUUCAGCAGUUUAGGAUUCAGUCUGAGUAAGCAUCUGGUAAAUUGGUUCAAUUGACCAGACUCGGCUGUAUUGUUUUAAAAAGUGCACAUAACACAUGACCAGGCAGCCAUCCUGGUAUUAUAUAAGAAUUUAAUCAAUAUUUAUUAUAUAUCUUAAUUUACCAUCCAUCGCAUCAUAGAGCUGCU